This 432-nucleotide ribosomal RNA is filed under the name uncultured bacterium. Its description in RNAcentral is "partial 16S ribosomal RNA". It matches the Rfam family "Bacterial small subunit ribosomal RNA", at positions 29 to 506 of the family's 1533-position model. The record is from RNAcentral.
AACGAACGCUGGCGGCAUGCCUAACACAUGCAAGUCGAACGAACCCUUCGGGGUUAGUGGCGCACGGGUGCGUAACGCGUGGGAAUCUGCCCUUUGCUUCGGAAUAACUCAGGGAAACUUGUGCUAAUACCGGAUGAUGUCUUCGGACCAAAGAUUUAUCGGCAAGGGAUGAGCCCGCGUAGGAUUAGGUAGUUGGUGGGGUAAAGGCCUACCAAGCCGACGAUCCUUAGCUGGUCUGAGAGGAUGAUCAGCCACACUGGGACUGAGACACGGCCCAGACUCCUACGGGAGGCAGCAGUGGGGAAUAUUGGACAAUGGGCGCAAGCCUGAUCCAGCAAUGCCGCGUGAGUGAUGAAGGCCCUCGGGUCGUAAAGCUCUUUUACCAGGGAUGAUAAUGACAGGACCUGGAGAAUAAGCUCCGGCUAACUCCGU